UAGAGAGAAUUCUGAGCGAUGAGCAAAUUUCGAAAAUUUGUGAAACGAUUUCGAUCGUGUUUCUCUUGCUUCGGCAAGAGAAAACGAGAUCAAACAGAUUGUAACAUCAUUGAAUCUGUCGUGGAGGAGCCCACGGAAGAGCCCAAGUCACCGUUCUGCCUGG
This is a long non-coding RNA of Xenopus tropicalis (tropical clawed frog), 163 nucleotides long. RefSeq lists it as uncharacterized. The record is from RefSeq and is a predicted model, not a curated record. NCBI's taxonomy places the organism in Eukaryota, Metazoa, Chordata, Amphibia, Anura, Pipidae. The transcript is spliced from 3 exons.